RNAcentral lists this ribosomal RNA (489 nucleotides) under Chromis lepidolepis (scaly chromis). RNAcentral describes it as "partial small subunit ribosomal RNA". It matches the Rfam family "Bacterial small subunit ribosomal RNA", at positions 788 to 1491 of the family's 1533-position model. The record is from RNAcentral. Lineage: Eukaryota; Metazoa; Chordata; Actinopteri; Pomacentridae.
CACUAUGCACAGUCCUAAACUCCGAUAGGCCUUUACACCCCCUAUCCGCCCGGGCAGUACGAGCAUUAGCUUAAAACCCAAAGGACCUGGCGGUGCUUUACAUCCAUCUAGAGGAGCCUGUUCUAGAACCGAUAUUCCACGUUGAACCUCACCUUCUCUUGUAAUUUUUCAGCCUGUAUACCGCCGCCAUAAACUUACCCUGUGAAGGGCCCGUAGUGAGUAAAAUUGGUAAAUCACCCCAAUAUGUCAGGUCGAGGUGCAGUUAAUGAGAAGGGAAGAAAUGGGCUACAUUCCCUGGAUCAGGGAAUCACGGACUAUAUCCUGAAACGGAUAUAACACAAGGAGGAUUUAGUAGUAAGAGGAAAUCAAAAAAUUCCACUGAAAUCUGGCUCUAAAGCGCGCACACACCGCCCGUCACCCUCCCCGAUAUCUGAGUCUAAACUCACUUCAUAAACCCCUAAAUCUAUAAUUAGGGGAGGAAAGUCGUAA